Molecule: ribosomal RNA, 391 nt
Filed under: uncultured bacterium
Lineage: Bacteria
Description: bacterial SSU rRNA
Rfam family: Bacterial small subunit ribosomal RNA
Source: RNAcentral
GACGAACGCUGGCGGCGUGCUUAACACAUGCAAGUCGAGCGGUAAGGCCCUUUCGGGGGUACACGAGCGGCGAACGGGUGAGUAACACGUGGGUGACCUGCCCUCAGCUCUGGGAUAAGCCUGGGAAACCGGGUCUAAUACUGGAUAUGACUCCAUGACGCAUGUUGUGGGGUGGAAAGCCUUGUGCGGCUGAGGAUGGGCCCGCGGCCUAUCAGCUUGUUGGUGGGGUGAUGGCCUACCAAGGCGACGACGGGUAGCCGGCCUGAGAGGGCGACCGGCCACACUGGGACUGAGACACGGCCCAGACUCCUACGGGAGGCAGCAGUGGGGAAUUUUGGACAAUGGGGCAACCCUGAUCCAGCCAUGCCGCGUGAGUGAAGAAGGCCUUCGG